UCCCUGGUGGCUCAGAUGGUAAAGAACCUGCCUGCAAUGCAGGAGACCCGGGUUCGAUCCCUGGCUCGGGAA
Molecule: transfer RNA, 72 nt
Filed under: Bos taurus (domestic cattle)
Lineage: Eukaryota; Metazoa; Chordata; Mammalia; Artiodactyla; Bovidae
Also listed under: 4 other names
Rfam family: tRNA
About the family: Transfer RNA (tRNA) molecules are approximately 80 nucleotides in length. Their secondary structure includes four short double-helical elements and three loops (D, anti-codon, and T loops).
Source: Rfam by way of RNAcentral